UACGUAGGGGGGCGAGCGUUGUCCGGAUUUAUUGGGCGUAAAGGGCGCGUAGGCGGCGUGACAAGUCACUUGUGAAAUCUCCGGGCUUAACUCGGAACGGUCAAGUGAUACUGUCGGACUAGAGUACAGAAGGGGCAACUGGAAUUCUCGGUGUAGCGGUGAAAUGCGUAGAUAUCGAGAGGAACACCUGCGGCGAAGGCGGGUUGCUGGGCUGAUACUGACGCUGAGGCGCGAAAGCCAGGGGAGCGAACGGGG
Molecule: ribosomal RNA, 255 nt
Filed under: uncultured bacterium
Lineage: Bacteria
Description: partial 16S ribosomal RNA
Rfam family: Bacterial small subunit ribosomal RNA
Source: RNAcentral